CUGUUUUGUGAUAGGAGCAAUAUUUUGUGAAACACAAGUUAAUCAUAGGCAGCCAUUUUAAAAAAAGGUGUCACUUGCAUCGAACUAUUGUGCUAAGCGCCGCGCGUCUGUAUGGCAUUACCUCCACCCAUAUAUUUACCUUGGGUUUUUGUAGAAAGGUGACGCCGUCUGCAG
Molecule: long non-coding RNA, 174 nt
Organism: Bradysia coprophila
Lineage: Eukaryota; Metazoa; Arthropoda; Insecta; Diptera; Sciaridae
Source: RefSeq, a predicted model, not a curated record